Molecule: ribosomal RNA, 398 nt
Filed under: uncultured bacterium
Lineage: Bacteria
Description: bacterial SSU rRNA
Rfam family: Bacterial small subunit ribosomal RNA
Source: RNAcentral
GACGAACGCUGGCGGCGUGCUUAACACAUGCAAGUCGAGCGAUGAAGUUUCCUUCGGGAAACGGAUUAGCGGCGGACGGGUGAGUAACACGUGGGUAACCUGCCUCAUAGAGAGGGAUAGCCUUCCGAAAGGAAGAUUAAUACCUCAUAACAUCAUUCUUUCGCAUGUUAGAAUGAUCAAAGGAGCAAUCCGCUAUGAGAUGGACCCGCGGCGCAUUAGCUAGUUGGUGGGUAACGGCCUACCAAGGCGACGAUGCGUAGCCGGUCUGAGAGGAUGAACGGCCACAUUGGGACUGAGACACGGCCCAGACUCCUACGGGAGCAGCAGUGAGGAAUAUUGGUCAAUGGGCGAGAGCCUGAACCAGCCAAGUCGCGUGAGGGAGGAAGGUCCUACGGAUU